CCUACGGGAGGCAGCAGUGGGGGAUAUUGCACAAUGGGGGAAACCCUGAUGCAGCAACGCCGCGUGUGGGAAGAAGGUUUUCGGAUUGUAAACCACUGUUCUUGGUGAAGAUAAUGACGGUAACCAAGCAGAAAGCUCCGGCUAACUACGUGCCAGCAGCCGCGGUAAUACGGAGGGAGCAAGCGUUGUCCGGAUGUACUGGGUGUAAAGGGUGCGUAGGCGGUCUUGCAAGUCAGACGUGAAAAGCACAGGCUCAACCUGUGGACUGCGUUUGAAACGGUGGGGCUUGAGUGAAGUAGAGGUAGGCGGAAUUCCUGGUGUAGCGGUGAAAUGCGUAGAGAUCAGGAGGAACACCAGUGGCGAAGGCGGCCUACUGGGCUUUAACUGACGCUGAUGCUCGAAAGCGCGGGUAUCGAACAGGAUUAGAUACCCCUGUAGUC
Molecule: ribosomal RNA, 440 nt
Filed under: uncultured bacterium
Lineage: Bacteria
Description: partial 16S ribosomal RNA
Rfam family: Bacterial small subunit ribosomal RNA
Source: RNAcentral